This 461-nucleotide ribosomal RNA is filed under the name uncultured bacterium. Its description in RNAcentral is "SSU rRNA". It matches the Rfam family "Bacterial small subunit ribosomal RNA", at positions 26 to 518 of the family's 1533-position model. The record is from RNAcentral.
AGAACGAACGCUGGCGGCAUGCCUAACACAUGCAAGUCGAACGCUCUUGGGGCUUCGGUUCCAAGGGAGUGGCGCACGGGUGAGUAGCGCGUGGGAACCUGCCCUGGAGUGGGGGAUAACCGAGGGAAACUUCGGCUAAUACCGCAUGCGCCCGGGAAACCGGGGAAAGAUUUAUCGCUCUAGGAGGGGCCCGCGUCGGAUUAGCUAGUUGGUGGGGUAACGGCCUACCAAGGCUUUGAUCCGUAGCUGGUCUGAGAGGAUGAUCAGCCACACUGGGACUGAGACACGGCCCAGACUCCUACGGGAGGCAGCAGUGGGGAAUAUUGGACAAUGGGCGCAAGCCUGAUCCAGCAAUGCCGCGUGAGUGAUGAAGGCCUUCGGGUUGUAAAGCUCUUUCGCACGCGAGGAUGAUGACGCUAGCGUGAGAAGAAGCCCCGGACUAACUUCGUGCCAGCAGGCGC